CAGCAGCCGCGGGAAUACGUAGGUGGUAAGCGUUGUCCGGAAUUAUUGGGCGUAAAGGGCUCGCAGGCGGUUUCUUAAGUCUGAUGUGAAAGCCCCCGGCUCAACCGGGGAGGGUCAUUGGAAACUGGGAAACUUGAGUGCAGAAGAGGAGAGUGGAAUUCCACGUGUAGCGGUGAAAUGCGUAGAGAUGUGGAGGAACACCAGUGGCGAAGGCGACUCUCUGGUCUGUAACUGACGCUGAGGAGCGAAAGCGUGGGGAACGAACAGGAUUAGAUACCCCUGUAGUCCCUGUCUCUUAUAC
Molecule: ribosomal RNA, 301 nt
Filed under: uncultured bacterium
Lineage: Bacteria
Description: partial 16S ribosomal RNA
Rfam family: Bacterial small subunit ribosomal RNA
Source: RNAcentral